UUUAAAUAUUGUAUUGUUUAAACUGUCUUCUUCCAAAAUCGGGAAAAUCAUAUGAUCUGCCACUGUAGUAGACUUUAUUGCUGUUCAAUGCAUUUUUUUUAAGUAAAAGCAAAGCAAAUUUAGCAGCAAAUCCCCCCCACAGAAUACACCAUGUAUAGACUUAAAGAGUUUAUUAAUUAGUAAUAUUUUAUUUGGUUUUUACACUCUACUGAAAAGAUGAAAGAGAGGAGCCAAGCUAGUAAACAAUGAUUGAAGGCACAGAACUCUGAUCGGACUUGAAUAUUUACUAUUUUAAAAACAACAGUAUAAUAUUGGCAAGAAUUAAAAGGUGGAUUUUGAGUCUUACACAAUCAGAGUCAAAUAUAUAUAUUCUUUAAGGCACUAAAUAAAAUGCCUCUUAGUUAAGGGCCAUUUUAGAAGGAAAUUGUCCCUGUGACUGAAUUCAAUUGAUAAAAGUAUAUUCAUUCCACAUUUAACAAUAUUAUCAAAUAGCUACAGAGCAACAGAUACAAUCUCUGGCACUAAAAUAAAAUGGCAAGCUAAAACUGACAUGAUCUCUACCCAUAUGGAGAAUGUCGGAAGUGGUUGCAAAGUGUGUGUAAAGAUGCCCCCUUGCAAACCUGUGAAGUAAGGUUGCCUGGUUCUGUAGCAGCACGGAGCAUGUCACAUAAACAGCGCGUACAACGAAGCCCUUGGGGCUGGAGAAAACGUGAAGAGGGCUGGGGCAGGGGGUGUAUGUUGUUGCAACUCAGGGCUGCAGAGAUCUGGGAGGCCAUCCCUUUUAAAGUUUACAACUACGUCAGCAUCUGCCAUGUGUAAACAGUAUGAUCAGCAUAGAGGGAGAAGCCAGUGAGAAGAAAGAACAUUUUUUCCACAGAUAAUUCUGAAAAGGUAAGUGUUCUUUUUUCUAUGUGAAAAGAAAUUGAAAGAGUGUAAGAGAUAAAUGCUUGGCUCCUAAAUGUUAUUUAUUCAUUCAAAUAAUAGCUGGUAUAUAUUAAGGCAGUGGAAAUAAGCAAUGCACAUACGAGACAAAAGUUCUUAUGUUCACUUUGUUUUCAUUCCAGUGUAUGUUUAUGUGUGUGUGUGGGGGGGUAAUAAGUACAUUUAACAAGUAAACCAUAUAGCAUGAUAGAUGGUAUUUAGUUGUGUAGGAAAAAGGAAUUAAGAAGGCUAAAUGGGGGCACCUGGGUGGCUCUGUUGGUUAAGUGUCUGACUUUGGCUCAGGUCAUGAUCUUGCGGUUUGUGAUGUUGAGGCCCACGGUGGGCUCUGUGCUGACAGCUCAGAGCCUGGAGCUUGGUUCUGAUUCUGUGUCUCUCUUUCUAUCUGCCCCUCCCCACUCAUACUCUUUCUCUCUCUCUCAAAAAUAAACAUUUUAGAGAUUAAAAAAAAUAAAAGAUA
RNAcentral lists this long non-coding RNA (1399 nucleotides) under Felis catus (domestic cat). Its description in RNAcentral is "lncRNA (ENSFCAG00000053340.1)". Lineage: Eukaryota; Metazoa; Chordata; Mammalia; Carnivora; Felidae. The record is from RNAcentral.